This 18-nucleotide small RNA is filed under the name Arabidopsis thaliana (thale cress). RNAcentral's name for it is "ATSL081500". Lineage: Eukaryota; Viridiplantae; Streptophyta; Magnoliopsida; Brassicales; Brassicaceae. The record is from RNAcentral.
UCUCUUCCUUGCCUUCUU